Molecule: transfer RNA, 114 nt
Filed under: Cordylochernes scorpioides
Lineage: Eukaryota; Metazoa; Arthropoda; Arachnida; Pseudoscorpiones; Chernetidae
Description: tRNA-Leu
Source: RNAcentral
UGUCAGAAGUGGGAUUCGAACCCACGCCCACUGCCGUGGACCAGAACACCCAACUCCCGCUUCGGGAUAAGUUAUCCUUGAGUCUGGCGCCUUAGACCACUCGGCCAUCCUGAC